Molecule: long non-coding RNA, 1427 nt
Organism: Arabidopsis lyrata subsp. lyrata
Lineage: Eukaryota; Viridiplantae; Streptophyta; Magnoliopsida; Brassicales; Brassicaceae
Exons: 3
Source: RefSeq, a predicted model, not a curated record
UUUGGACAAAUCGGUUCGGUUCAUAAUUGUAAACUGAACCGAUCGGAAUGAUAAUAAAAUUAGUUCGGUUAUGCAUUCAGUUCGGUUCGGAAAAGAGAUAACCGACGGUUAACCGAAAAUUAACCCUAAGUUACUAAGUAUAUAAGUGUUAUACCAGGCAUUAGUUGUAAAAAUAAAAACCCUAACCUAAUCGCAGUCUCUCUCUCAGGCGGCGAAACCCGAGAUAUUGAGCUUCGGUCUUCGACUUCGAUCUUCAUCAUUCGUUACUCCGUGUGUUCUUCGACUUCGAUCUUCAUCAUCUGUGUUCGAUUGUAGUUGUUUUAUGGAGUCGGAAUCAGAAAACAACAAUGAUGACAUUCUUGGUCAAGAGAACCAUAUGGAAGAAGAUGGUCCACCUCCCUCUUCAGUUGGAGGAAAAAGAACAAAAUCUCAGAGAUCAAGUUCUGGUUUUGCAGUCAAACCGAGGAAAAGGCCAGCUCAUAGAGCAUCUGUGUGGAAGCAUUUCGUUCAGCAAACAGACAAUCUGGCUUUAAGCAGCCGAUCUAAGUGCCUUGUUUGAUUUGACAGAUGAUGAUGGUUAUGAGAGGAUGGACUCUUUGUACUCUGAGAUGGUAGCAGAGACUGCAAAUGAAGAAGUUAGUAGCGAACUUGACAUUUAUUUGCUUGAGAAACAAGUGCCAAGAACUACAAAUGGUUUGGGACUGGAUUAUGAUGUCUUAAGCUGGUGGAGGAAGAACAGUUCAAAAUUCCCAAUCUUAUCAGAGUUAGCAAGAGAUGUGCUUGCCAUUCAGGUCUCCUCUGUUGCUUCAGAGUCUGCAUUCAGCACCAGUGGUCGUAUUUUGGACCCUUUCCAAAGUUGCUUGUCACCACACAUGGUUGAAUCAUUGAUCUGUACUCAACAAUGGCUCAGAAAUACCAUUCAUGAGGAGAAGUUAGCAAACUUGGUUCAAAUGUUUGAAGAAUUGGAGUUUCAUGAGUAUUUAGGUAAUCAUUCUAUCUUUCAAUUUUUUUGGUUUUUACUAUAGACUCAAUUGCAUUUCAUUUGCCUUGUGUAGGUUCACAGACUCAUGCCCAAUCAUCAGUUGACCCUUGAAUUGGAGUUGGAAAUUGAGACAAGGUGACUAACACAUAUGAUCUUCAAGGCUUAAAGGCUUGUCUCUUUCUCUCUCUAUUUUUGAUUUUUGAACAACAAACUCUUUCUCUUUUGGCGUCAGGAGAACAAUGACAACAUACCAAAUGCAUCUAUGCUCUGUAGGAAAUUAGGUAUAAUGGAUCAUUGGUUUUUUGUCAUUUCUGUCAAGUUACAUGUUUUUUGGAACAUCUUAUGUAUCUAUUGUAUUUCAUUUCUGUCAAGUUACUGAGUUGUUGUUGUAUAUUCAUGAUGAAUGCUCUGAAUUUGUAAUAAUUUUAAUUUUCUUCUUUUUGGU